GUUUCCUUUCGUUUCCGGGACCAGCCUGCUGUUAGUGUUACGUUUUUAAAUUUAGCGCCAGGAGAGGCGCUCUGAGUACCGGCGCGGGGCCGCAGGCAGCGGGAAGGGUCGGCGGCCUCUCCCUCGCAGCUCUGCCAGUGCUACCAAGUGACUCAUGAGGAGGGGAGCUUCUGCAGUGUGGAUCUGCUGGACCAAGGGAGGAUUCAGGUCCUUUGCAGGAUGAAGCUGGAUGGUGCAAGAUUUCUUCACACCACUCAGAACACUGCACAAUUUAAAACUUAAGAAUUGUUUGUUUCUGGAAUUUUCCAUGUAAUAUUUUUGGACCAAGGUCAAUUGGGGGUAACUGAAACCCUGGAAAGUGAAACUUGAAAUAGGGGGAGCUACUAUACAUGACAAAUGUUACCCAAGAUUCCCUUGCUCAGAUAUUCAUACCCGUUUUUAUUUUUCUCUGAUCCUUUCCAGCCCUUGGCUGUAUGAAUGUGUAUUUUUGUGGUUGUCACAGUUUAGACUAUUUUGUCUGCUUUUCUCACUUAACAGUGUCAUAAGCAUGUAUCCCUUCAUAUCAAGAGCUAUCAUUGUUAAUGGAGGCAUGAUAUUUAACAUUACUGGUAUAGGAUUAGUUAUCCAUUCCCUAGUAUGCAGUAAGUAUUUAGAUUAUUUCAAACUGUUAUUAUAAAUAAUGCUACAAUGUUUAUUGUAUAUGGAUUGUGUGUACAGCAGUGUGACACAGUGAUUGAUGUGCAUAUACACACAUAGAUGCUUUGUAUCUAAUGAAAAAAAAUUAGAUGCAGGAAAUUAUUUUUAGCAGAAUACCAUGUAGGUUAAUUUAAAAGGCACAAAGAACAACACUAUGUACUUUACAAGGAUACGUACGUAUUUAAGGCCAUGUCAAGCACAUUAAAAAACAUGGGUGUCUUUACAUGUAGCCAACAAACAUGAAGAAAAGCUCAACAUCACUGUUCGUUAGAGAAAUGCAAAUCAAAACCACAAUGAUAUACCAUCGCAUGCCAGUCAGAAUGGCAGUUGUUAAAAAGUCAAGAAACAACAGAUGCUGGUGAGGCUGGGGAGAAACAAGAACGCUUUUACAUUGUUGAUGGGAAUGUAAAUUAGUUCAACCAUGUGGAAGACAGUGUAGUGAUUCCUUAGAGAUUUACAAUUAGAAAUACUAUUUGACCUAGGGAUCCCAUUACUGGGUACAUACCCAAAGAAAUAUAAGUCAUUCUGUUAUAAAGAUACAUCAUGUGUAUGUUCAUUGCAGCACUGUUCAUAAUAGCAAAGACAUGGAAUCAACCCACAUGUCCAUCAGUGAUAGACUGGAUAAAGAAAAUGUAGCACGUAUACACCACGGAAUACUAUGCAGCCACAAAAAGGAACGAGAUCAUGUCCUUUGCAGAGACAUCCUUAGCAAACAAAUGCAGGCACAGAAAACCAAAUACCACACUUAUAAGUGGGAGCUGAACAAUGAUAACACAUGGACCCAGCGAGGGAAACAACACACACCAGAGCCUGUCAGGAAGGGUGGUGGAAGAGGAGAGCAUUAGGGAAAAGAGCUAAUACAUGCUAAGCUUAAUGCCCAGGUGAUGUGUUGAUAGGUGAAGCAAACCACCAUGGCACACAUUUACCUAUAACAAACCUGCACAUCCUGCACAUGUAUCCUGGAACUUAAAAAAAAAUGGGUGUCUUUAAAAUGGCAUGGAGUGGGAGAAAGAAAUGGGUAAGGAAGGAGGAGCAGGAUAAAUUAAAUGAGAAGGCCAGGCUCACAUGGGCAAUGGUCAGGGUACUCUGAGAAAACAAUGAACUCUGCCCUUUCUGUAAAUAAUUUCCUUUAUCAUUUAAAAAAAUUAUGUAAGUACCUUUUUGAAAAGGAGACCAUUACUCACAGACUGACUCCAGAUCCCCAUUGUCUUCAAGGUAAAGUCUAAAGUACUAAGCUUUGAACAUACAUCCCUUGAGAUAUGGUCCUACCUGGACUCCCCAGCUGCAGUUUCCACCACCUACCUCCCUCUCUACCCACUCCACAGUAUGGCAACAGGGAACUGCCUGUGGUUCUCUCCUCUGUCACAUCCAACAUUUGGUAUUGUAUCCCCAAAGCUGAGACCAUCCUGUUCUCCACAAGCCUCAUUCCUUUCCUUCUCCCUCACCCUUUACCACUGCCAGGACAACUGUCACUCAUCCAUCAGGUCUCACUAAGUGCCUUCUCUUCCUGCCUCCUCAUACCAUUCCCAAGAAUAAGCGAGAACCCUCCAAUUUCACCAGCUAGUGGAACCAGUCAGUUCCUUGAGGGAAGAAUAACAUCUAGAAAUUCACCACUAUAUUGGCAAAAAAUUACAGUGAUUUCACUGAGUACUAACUGUGCUGAGCACUGCACUGAGCAGUUAAUUCGGAUGAUCUCUUUCAGCCCUUCAACAGUAUUAAGGGUAUUAUUGUGCUUACCCACAUUUUACAGAGGAAAAAUGUAGAGUCUAGAGAGAUCAAGUACCUGCCUAUGAUGACAGGACUAGCAAGUGGCUGAGCAGGAAUUCCAACCCAGGCCUUAGGACUCUAGAGAUGGGGCUCUUCACUUUCCUUCCUUCCCUGGUGUCCCUAUGCCUGGGACAAAGUAAUAUGGAAACAUAGCGUGUGCUGAGCAAAUAUUUUUCAAGUAAAUAUUUAUGCAGAUAGCUAGGCAGUCGUGGCUUCUGGUAUUCCCAAUUUUAAAAAUGAAAACAAAUUGAUUACAUCCAAUAUAUCAUAAAAUAGUCUGUGAAUUACUUUCAGUACUAAUCUGUACUAGUUACACUAACAAGAGUCAAGCAGGUUGUUCUUCAAAGAAUAAGAAGGCAGCAGCAACUUUAACACCUGUGAGUAGAAAAUCAGAUAGUCUUCUAAAUGCUGGAAGCAAUACAUGUUUGGUUUUUAGUAAAAAGGAAAAAAAAACUGGGUGAGGCACAGGAGAAAAAUUCAGUGCCAAAUAACCUUUAGCAAUGCUUAGUGGUAAUUAGAGCAAGGAGACAUUGUAUUAAAGGUAAUGGAAGAAAUUUUCCCAUCUAUAUUGUUAAAAACCUGUAAGAAUGUUUCUUUCAAAGCAAACUUAAAAUUAAAAUCCAUGUUUAUGAUUAUUUCUCUCAGGAGAAAAGGUUGUUCUCUUUUACCAAAUUUUUCUGUCAUCAAAUGCUCAUCAAGUGACAACAGAGAAAGCAACAUAGUCCUUUAGCAUCAGAUUGGGAGAAGACUCUGCUCUUGAAGUAUCAACUAUGUAGAAAGGGGGCAACCUAUGUAGUACAUGGGGUGCUGGUCAAUGCUAAUAGCUGGCUCUCAGGGAAAAAGAAAACACAUCAGUGGCAUCUACUGAUUUCUAUGGUGUAAAUACUCUCAGCUCUGGCAAUUUCAAGCCAUCAAUUUGACAUUGCUGAACCCAAAGUUGACUUAGGAUGUGCACAAUUAAUUGGCUUUUGGGAGCAAGCUUGUGCAAAAGACUUGAGACAGCUCACGAUGAAGUGCUCUGUAUUAGGCAGGGUGAUAUUGGUUGCAAGUGACAGAAACCCAAUCAGAAGCUCACUGAAGCCAUGAGGAAUACUCAUUGGCUCAG
This is a long non-coding RNA of Callithrix jacchus (white-tufted-ear marmoset), 3568 nucleotides long. RefSeq lists it as uncharacterized. Lineage: Eukaryota; Metazoa; Chordata; Mammalia; Primates; Cebidae. The record is from RefSeq and is a predicted model, not a curated record.